Molecule: ribosomal RNA, 430 nt
Filed under: Theileria sp.
Lineage: Eukaryota; Apicomplexa; Aconoidasida; Piroplasmida; Theileriidae
Description: SSU rRNA
Source: RNAcentral
CAGGAGGUAGUGACAAGAAAUAACAAUACGGGGCUUUACGUCUUGUAAUUGGAAUGAUGGGAAUCUAAACCUCUUCCARAGUAUCAAUUGGAGGGCAAGUCUGGUGCCAGCAGCCGCGGUAAUUCCAGCUCCAAUAGCGUAUAUWAAAAUUGUUGCAGUUAAAAAGCUYGUAGUUGAAUUUCUGCUGCAUCGCCUUUUCUCCUKUACGAGUUUYGGCAUUGUGGCUUAUUUMGGAUUUGCUUGCAUUUCCGAAUGUUUACUUUGAGAAAAUUARAGUGCUCAAAGCAGGCUUUUGCCUUGAAUAGUUUAGCAUGGAAUAAUAAAGUAGGACUUUGGUUCUAUUUUGUUGGUUUUAGGUACCAAAGUAAUGGUUAAUAGGAACAGUUGGGGGCAUUCGUAUUUAACUGUCAAAGGUGAAAUUCUUAGAAUA